Molecule: ribosomal RNA, 449 nt
Filed under: uncultured bacterium
Lineage: Bacteria
Description: bacterial SSU rRNA
Rfam family: Bacterial small subunit ribosomal RNA
Source: RNAcentral
ACCCAGACUCCUACGGGAGGCAGCAGUGGGGAAUAUUGCACAAUGGGGGGAACCCUGAUGCAGCGAUGCCGCGUGGAGGAAGAAGGUUUUCGGAUUGUAAACUCCUUUUAUCAGGGACGAUAAUGACGGUACCUGAAGAAAAAGCUCCGGCUAACUACGUGCCAGCAGCCGCGGUAAUACGUAGGGAGCGAGCGUUGUCCGGAAUUACUGGGUGUAAAGGGAGCGUAGACGGCAGAGCAAGUCUGAAGUGAAAGCCCGCGGCCCAACUGCGGGACUGCUUUGGAAACUGCCCGGCUAGAGUGCUGGAGAGGUAAGCGGAAUUCCUAGUGUAGCGGUGAAAUGCGUAGAUAUUAGGAGGAACACCAGUGGCGAAGGCGGCUUACUGGACAGUAACUGACGUUGAGGCUCGAAAGCGUGGGGAGCAAACAGGAUUAGAUACCCUAGUAAAC